This 100-nucleotide signal recognition particle RNA is filed under the name Planctomycetes bacterium RBG_16_64_10. Its description in RNAcentral is "signal recognition particle sRNA small type". It matches the Rfam family "Bacterial small signal recognition particle RNA". Rfam says of the family: The signal recognition particle (SRP) is a universally conserved ribonucleoprotein involved in the co-translational targeting of proteins to membranes. The record is from RNAcentral. Lineage: Bacteria; Pseudomonadati; Planctomycetota.
GAUGAGGGGUCCCUGCAAUGGGGACCUUGCGAACCUGGUCAGGGUGGAAACACAGCAGCCAUAAGCUCGGCUCCCUCUGUGCAGUGGGCCCCUCAUCGGA